Molecule: non-coding RNA, 29 nt
Filed under: Homo sapiens (human)
Lineage: Eukaryota; Metazoa; Chordata; Mammalia; Primates; Hominidae
Source: RNAcentral
UCUCUUCUCAGAGCUGCUGUCCAAACUGC